RNAcentral lists this ribosomal RNA (345 nucleotides) under uncultured bacterium. Its description in RNAcentral is "partial 16S ribosomal RNA". It matches the Rfam family "Bacterial small subunit ribosomal RNA", at positions 338 to 694 of the family's 1533-position model. The record is from RNAcentral.
CCUACGGGAGGCUGCAGUCGAGAAUCAUUCACAAUGGGCGAAAGCCUGAUCGUGCGACGCCGCGUGGGGGAAUGAAGUUCUUCGGAUUGUAAACUCCUGUCAUGUGGGAGCAAAUUAAAAAGAUAGUACCACAAGAGGAAGAGAUUGCUAACUCUGUGCGAGCAGCCGCGGUACUACAGAGGUAUCAAGCGUUGUUCGGAAUCACUGGGCGUAAAGGGUGCGUAGGCUGUUUCGUAAGUCGUGUGUGAAAGGCUCGGGCUCAACCCGCGGAGGGCACAUGAUACGGCGAGACAAGAGGAAUGGGGGGGGAACCGGAAUCCUCGGGGUAGCAGUGAAAUGCGGAGA